RNAcentral lists this unclassified non-coding RNA (545 nucleotides) under Hevea brasiliensis (rubber tree). The record is from RNAcentral. Lineage: Eukaryota; Viridiplantae; Streptophyta; Magnoliopsida; Malpighiales; Euphorbiaceae.
AUAAGUUUGUCUUUAACACAGAAGCUCAUCCUCUUCCUAUUAAAGGUAACUGAGAGGGACUGAAUGUCUUUUGCAUAUAAAGCAUACAUGUGAAGAAAAACUCUUGCAACUUGUAUUUUGGUGGGAAACAGACUACUACUUUUUGAAAUUUUGUUGGUGCAUCAUUCACAUGUUUGGUCCUGGUUCAAAAUGGCGAUCAGUUAAAGUGGUAUCAAGAAAUGUUAGCAGUGCAAUGAGUCAGUUGUUUGAUCUGUACUCAAUUGUCCACAGAGAAGAACAAUUUUUUGGGGAAAUUCAUUCAUAUGGCCCACCAGAUUAUGGCAUGGUUGUAAGAUGUAAUUGUUAACAUUCUUCAUAAUUAUAUGUGGAUGGGGUUCUUUGCUCCGAAAGUACCGAUUGAAAGUGCAACCAUUUGUAAUUUACUUAUCCAAUUUUCCAGUGCUUACCGCAGUUUUGUUGGCCUAUUUGGACCAGCAGAUGUAUUGCACUUUUUGUUAAUAUUUCUUAAUAUAUUGCUCAAAAUAUCAAGCUAAUCUGCAUGUCUA